UGGGGUAAUGGCUCACCUAGGCGACGAUCCCUAGCUGGUCUGAGAGGAUGACCAGCCACACUGGAACUGAGACACGGUCCAGACUCCUACGGGAGGCAGCAGUGGGGAAUAUUGCACAAUGGGCGCAAGCCUGAUGCAGCCAUGCCGCGUGUGUGAAGAAGGCCUUAGGGUUGUAAAGCACUUUCAGCGAGGAGGAAGGGUUCAGUGUUUUUUUCUUUUUUUCAUUGACGUUACUCGCAGAAGAAGCACCGGCUAACUCCGUGCCAGCAGCCGCGGUAAUACGGAGGGUGCAAGCGUUAAUCGGAAUUACUGGGCGUAAAGCGCACGCAGGCGGUUUGUUAAGUCAGAUGUGAAAUCCCCGCGCUUAACGUGGGAACUGCAUUUGAAACUGGCAAGCUAGAGUCUUGUAGAGGGGGGUAGAAUUCCAGGUGUA
This 433-nucleotide ribosomal RNA is filed under the name Serratia sp. J37. RNAcentral describes it as "bacterial SSU rRNA". It matches the Rfam family "Bacterial small subunit ribosomal RNA", at positions 253 to 677 of the family's 1533-position model. Lineage: Bacteria; Pseudomonadati; Pseudomonadota; Gammaproteobacteria; Enterobacterales; Yersiniaceae. The record is from RNAcentral.